UACGUAGGGACCAAGCGUUGUUCGGAUUUACUGGGCGUAAAGGGCGCGUAGGCGGCAAUUCAAGUCAGCUGUGAAAUCUCCGGGCUUAACUCGGAACGGUCAGCUGAUACUGCUUUGCUAGAGUGCAGAAGGGGCAAUCGGAAUUCUUGGUGUAGCGGUGAAAUGCGCAGAUAUCAGGAGGAACACCGGUGGCGAAGGCGGGUCUCUGGGCCGAUACUGACGCUGAGGAGCGAAAGCGUGGGGAGCGAACAGG
Molecule: ribosomal RNA, 253 nt
Filed under: uncultured bacterium
Lineage: Bacteria
Description: partial 16S ribosomal RNA
Rfam family: Bacterial small subunit ribosomal RNA
Source: RNAcentral